GACGAACGCUGGCGGCGUGCUUAACACAUGCAAGUCGAGCGAGGCCCCUCCUUCGGGAGGGUGUCCUAGCGGCGAACGGGUGAGUAACACGUGGGCAACCUGCCCUCAGCUCUGGGAUAACUCCGGGAAACCGGGGCUCAUACCGGAUACGACCUCCACGGGCAUCUGCGGAGGUGGAAAGUUUUUCGGCUGAGGAUGGGCCCGCGGCCUAUCAGCUAGUUGGUGGGGUAGUGGCCCACCAAGGCGACGACGGGUAGCCGGCCUGAGAGGGCGACCGGCCACACUGGGACUGAGACACGGCCCAGACUCCUACGGGAGGCAGCAGUGGGGAAUAUUGCGCAAUGGGCGAAAGCCUGACGCAGCGACGCCGCGUGAGGGACGAAGGCCUUCGGGUUGUAAACCUCUUUCAGCAGGGACGAAGCGAAAGUGACGGUACCUGCAGAAGAAGCACCGGCCAACUACGUG
Molecule: ribosomal RNA, 465 nt
Filed under: uncultured bacterium
Lineage: Bacteria
Description: partial 16S ribosomal RNA
Rfam family: Bacterial small subunit ribosomal RNA
Source: RNAcentral